Molecule: unclassified non-coding RNA, 1119 nt
Filed under: Hevea brasiliensis (rubber tree)
Lineage: Eukaryota; Viridiplantae; Streptophyta; Magnoliopsida; Malpighiales; Euphorbiaceae
Source: RNAcentral
ACAUACCUGAACUAUAGAACUAUCAUUACAAUAAUAUCAAAUAAUGAGUAGUUCACUACAGAUAAAUUCAAUUAAAUGUUUUUACGCUUUCAACCAACAACCACCGUUUUGUAAGACUCAAAUCCUAAAAGGUUAACAGCAGUAUAUCGAAAGUAUUGAACAUUCUAUUAAUAUUUAUCAUUACAAUAUUAGAUAAAUUACUUGGAAAAAAAGAGAUGAUGAAAAUAAUGAAAAAUUGUAUGUGGAAAUAUAUUUACCAAAAUGUAUUAGAAACUUCGGUCAUAGCAAACAGCAAUUAAGGAUCUAUAUGGAAUUAAUUCCCUCAUACAGAAACAAAUUUUAGUAUAAUAUAAUUCCGAGGUGGUAGUAUUAUCUACUUUUAAAAAUUCGCAAAAUCCCAGUACACUUCCUGCACCCAAUGUAAUCUGCAGGAUCAAUAACAUCCAAUUCCUACCUACUUUUCUGCACUUGAUGAUCUGAAAUGUUCAUGAUCCCAACAAGAUUGUAAUGAAUAAUUACCUUACUGUUCCGUAACUCUUACAUGGUUUUUUGAAUCCUUAGAAGCUAAUGGAGGAUAUGACAAUGGUCAAUUACAUACCUGCGAUGAUUCUGGUAAAAGUUGUCAAGCUGAUAAUACACAUAAAUAGGCUGCUUCAUGUGCUUAGUCACCUGAAAGAGAAAAUGUAGUUAAAAAGUAGAUCAGUUUAUCAAUUGAAUAAGGAUAUCAUGCUUGCCAAUAGCUAUGUUUUGCUGGCUCAUUUGAUAUAUGAGAUGACCACGUACUGUAAUUCAUGUUAAAGAACCAAUUACUACUCCAGUAACAUCAGCCACUGAUAAUAUUAUUUACAACACAGAAAACAACAACAACAAUUAAUAGUGAUUGUAACAGUAAUACACUCAUGCAGAGUACCCUUACUUUUAAUGUCCUGUUGCAUGUUGUAUUAGCAGAACUUCGAAUAUAUCCAACCUUAUCGGUUCUAUUUUGUUCAGGAAUGCAUUCAGUGUCAUAGCGGUCAACAAUUUCAACAACCUGAUUAAACAGCAGGAAAUCCACAAUCAAAUACAAAUAUAACUGUAAAAGAUAUGCAUGACAUCAUGAUUAUGGGAAAAAUCAAGCUU